This 505-nucleotide ribosomal RNA is filed under the name uncultured bacterium. Its description in RNAcentral is "partial 16S ribosomal RNA". It matches the Rfam family "Bacterial small subunit ribosomal RNA", at positions 28 to 507 of the family's 1533-position model. The record is from RNAcentral.
GACGAACGCUGGCGGCGUGCCUAAUACAUGCAAGUAGAACGCACAGUUUAUACCGUAGCUUGCUACACCAUAGACUGUGAGUUGCGGACGGGUGAGUAACGCGUAGGUAACCUGCCUGGUAGCGGGGGAUAACUAUUGGAAACGAUAGCUAAUACCGCAUAAUAUUAAUUAUUGCAUGGUAAUUAAUUGAAAGGUGCAAUUGCACCACUACCAGAUGGACCUGCGUUGUAUUAGCUAGUAGGUGAGGUAACGGCUCACCUAGGCGACGAUACAUAGCCGACCUGAGAGGGUGAUCGGCCACACUGGGACUGAGACACGGCCCAGACUCCUACGGGAGGCAGCAGUAGGGAAUCUUCGGCAAUGGACGAAAGUCUGACCGAGCAACGCCGCGUGAGUGAAGAAGGUUUUCGGAUCGUAAAGCUCUGUUGUAAGAGAAGAACGGGUGUGAGAGUGGAAAGUUCACACUGUGACGGUAUCUUACCAGAAAGGGACGGCUAACUACGUG